AGUGAACGCUGGCGGUAGGCCUAACACAUGCAAGUCGAACGGCAGCACAGUAAGAGCUUGCUCUUACGGGUGGCGAGUGGCGGACGGGUGAGGAAUACAUCGGAAUCUACUUUUUCGUGGGGGAUAACGUAGGGAAACUUACGCUAAUACCGCAUACGACCUACGGGUGAAAGCAGGGGAUCUUCGGACCUUGCGCUAUUGAAUGAGCCGAUGUCGGAUUAGCUAGUUGGCGGGGUAAAGGCCCACCAAGGCGACGAUCCGUAGCUGGUCUGAGAGGAUGAUCAGCAACACUGGAACUGAGACACGGUCCAGACUCCUACGGGAGGCAGCAGUGGGGAAUAUUGGACAAUGGGCGCAAGCCUGAUCCAGCAAUACCGCGUGGGUGAAGAAGGCCUUCGGGUUGUAAAGCCCUUCUGUUGGGAAAGAAAAGCAGCAGGUUAAUACCCCGCUGUUCUGACGGUACCCAAAGAAUAAGCACCGGCUAACUUCGUG
This 492-nucleotide ribosomal RNA is filed under the name uncultured bacterium. RNAcentral describes it as "partial 16S ribosomal RNA". It matches the Rfam family "Bacterial small subunit ribosomal RNA", at positions 29 to 507 of the family's 1533-position model. The record is from RNAcentral.